Molecule: ribosomal RNA, 216 nt
Filed under: Glomeromycotina sp.
Lineage: Eukaryota; Fungi; Glomeromycota
Description: partial small subunit ribosomal RNA
Rfam family: Eukaryotic small subunit ribosomal RNA (bases 40-216)
Source: RNAcentral
GGGUCAGUAGGUUGGUCGUGCCACCGGUACGUACUGGUCUCACUGAUUUCUCCUUCCUGAAGAACCGUAAUGCCAUUAAUUUGGUGUAGCGGGGAAACAGGACUGUUACUUUGAAAAAAUUAGAGUGUUUAAAGCAAGCUAACGCUUGAAUACAUUAGCAUGGAAUAAUGAAAUAGGACGAUCGAUCCUAUUUUGUUGGUUUCUAGGAUUGACGUA